RNAcentral lists this ribosomal RNA (253 nucleotides) under uncultured bacterium. RNAcentral describes it as "partial 16S ribosomal RNA". It matches the Rfam family "Bacterial small subunit ribosomal RNA", at positions 524 to 776 of the family's 1533-position model. The record is from RNAcentral.
UACGGAGGGCGCAAGCGUUGUUCGGAAUUACUGGGCGUAAAGCGCGUGUAGGCGGCUUGGCAAGUCGGCUGUGAAAGCCCGGGGCUCAACCCCGGAGGGUCAGCCGAAACUGCCUCGCUCGAGUCCCGGAGAGGGUGGCGGAAUUUCCGGUGUAGAGGUGAAAUUCGUAGAUAUCGGAAGGAACACCAGUGGCGAAGGCGGCCACCUGGACGGUGACUGACGAUGAGACGCGAAAGCGUGGGGAGCAAACAGG